CAAGAGAAACAAACAUAUUCAUUUUUAAUUUUAAUCAAAAUAAAACUACAAUUUUCUAAUUUUUCAGAAUUCAAUAGGAUAUCCCGUUCUUAUACUCCAAAAGAACAAUCUAGAGCCUGCCUAAUUAGGAAUCAUGUUACAAGCCCAGAAGCCCAAAGAGUGAACCAACAAAACGACAACACAUGCAGUAGAUCAUAUAAGAUUCACAACAUUCAAAGUUCAAACCAUCUCCUUCUUCACGAACUGAAAAAGGAUCAAGCAAGAACCCUAAACCCCAAACCCAAUCAACCAGAACCUUCUAGCGGCGAGAAAUGUCCUCCUCGCCUCAACUCCUUCUCUUCUCUUCUGUUCGGAAACCACUGGAAUUCGUGAAUGUUCGAUCCUGAGAAGAACAUCGUGAUUCGACACUCAUGGACUUGCUUUCUGAAAGUUUGCUGAAGUACAUGUAUGAUGUAUGUUUCUUUUCUUGCUGGAUGCUUCCGCUCAGUACGUUUUGGUUUAGAAGAAACUCAUGAAAAGGACAAGCAUUGCAGUUCAACUGGUUUUGUGAGAAAAAAGCCCUUGUCUUGCUUCAUGAAGAUACAUAUUCUGUUGAUUUUUCCAAGGUUGAAGUGCAACUGAAUGCCUGAGCAGGGAGAUACUCACUAUACAAGCAAAAGCUGAUAAAGAGGCGGCUGGUUUACUUCUUCAGAAAUACAGUGUGAUGACUGAUGACAGAACCACUACAAGUUGCUCUGGAAAAUUUGGAGAAUAUUUAGUUAUUAGUAGACCAUCACCAUAGUAUUCUGUUAGCUUCUCUGCUGUAUCAAGCUAAAGAUGAUUAAAUUAUAGUGCCUUGAGAGGCUUUGUACCAACAUAAAAAACGAGUUUCACUGUUUUCAGAUUACAAAAUCUCAAUUAGUUGUCCCAAACUCCAGAAAGCGGGUCACAAGUAUACCUUGUUUAUAAAUUUUCAUGUCAAA
Molecule: RNA transcript, 962 nt
Organism: Lotus japonicus
Lineage: Eukaryota; Viridiplantae; Streptophyta; Magnoliopsida; Fabales; Fabaceae
Exons: 4
Source: RefSeq, a predicted model, not a curated record